GUGUCAGCAGCCGCGGUAAUACGAAGGUUGCAAGCGUUGUUCGGAAUCACUGGGCUUAAAGCGUAUGUAGGCGGAUGAGUAAGCGUUUUGUGAAAUCCCUCGGCUUAACCGGGGAAUUGCUUGGCGAACUGCUCAUCUUGAGGCAAAUAGGGGUACAUGGAACUCUUGGUGGAGCGGUGGAAUGCGUAGAUAUCAAGAGGAACGCCAGCGGCGAAAGCGGUGUACUGGAUUUGUCCUGACGCUCAGAUACGAAAGCGUGGGGAGCAAACGGGAUUAGAUACCCCAGUAGUCC
RNAcentral lists this ribosomal RNA (292 nucleotides) under uncultured bacterium. RNAcentral describes it as "partial 16S ribosomal RNA". It matches the Rfam family "Bacterial small subunit ribosomal RNA", at positions 505 to 796 of the family's 1533-position model. The record is from RNAcentral.